AGUCUGGUGCCAGCAGCCGCGGUAAUUCCAGCUCCAAUAGUGUAUAUUAAUGUUCCUGCAGUUAUUCGAUGCUCGUAGUUGGAUUUCUGGGGGCUGAGAUUGGAAGGUGGCCAAGGUCACCGCCGAACUCUUCCUUCAUCCACCUGUUAACGUUGUCCGGGAUUUGUUUCUCGGCUUCAGGCUCAGGUAUUUUACCCUUUCUAUAUAUUCAUUUAUUUAUCUUCUUUUUGGGUAAAUUAUAGUGUUUCAGGCAGGCGUGCGCCGGAAUACUUUAGCAUGGAAUAAUCGAAUUGGACCGUGUAUUCUUAUAGAAUUCUUCCUUAUUUGUUGGUUUCAAGGACACGGAAAUGGUUAAUAGGGAUAGUGUUUUCAGGGGAGGCAUUAGUAUUUAAUUUCCAGAGGUGAAAUUCUUUGAAAUAUUAAAGACUAACUUAUGCGAAAGCAUUUAUUUUGCCAAUAAUGUUUUCAUUAAUCAUUGAACGAAAGUUAGGGGAUCAAAGACGAUCAGAUACCGUCCUAGUCUUAACCAUAAACGUUGCCGACUAGGGAUCGGAGGGCGUGCACAUUCCGCCUUCGGCACCUUACGAGAAAUCAAAGUCUUUUGGGUUCUGGGGGUAGUAUGGUCGCAAGGCUGAAACUUAAAGGAAUUGACGGAAGGGCACCACCAGGAGUGGAGCUUGCGGCUCAAUUUGACUCAACACGGGAAAUCUUACCAGGUCCAGACAUAGCGAGGAUUGACAGAUUGAUAGCUCUUUCUUGAUUCUAUGGGUAUUUAUUUUAAUUUUGGUGGUGCAUGGCCGUUCUUAGUUGGUGGAGUGAUUUGUCUGGUUAAUUCCGUUAAACGAACGAGACCUCAGCCUGCUAAAUAGUUACCUGUCUUUCUUUUACGAGACUUGAUAACUUCUUAGAGGGACGUUGUGUGCAACCACAAGGAAGUUGAGGCAAUAACAGGUCUGUGAUGCCCUUAGAUGUCCUGGGCCGCACGCGUGCUACACUGAUACGUACAACAAGGUAUAUGCAUUUAUGCAUCGAUGCUGCUCCGAAAUAGACACAGCUAAAUCUUCUAAAAUACGUAUCGUGCUGCGGAUAGAUCGUUGAAAUUAUGGAUCUUGAAGGUGGAAUUCCUAGUAAGCGCGGGUCAUCAACCCGCGUUGAUUACGUCCCUGCCCUUUGUACACACCGCCCGUCGCUCCUACCAAUUUCGAGUGGCUCGGUGAACCUCUUUGGACUGUCGAGCAAUCGCGAAAUUAGAGUGAACCUGGUCAC
RNAcentral lists this ribosomal RNA (1266 nucleotides) under metagenome. RNAcentral describes it as "SSU rRNA". It matches the Rfam family "Eukaryotic small subunit ribosomal RNA", at positions 558 to 1772 of the family's 1831-position model. The record is from RNAcentral.